CCCUUAGAUGUUCUGGGCUGCACGCGCGCUACACUGAUGCGCUCAACGAGUUUACGACCUUGCCCGGAAGGGUUGGGUAAUCUUUUUAAAACGCAUCGUGAUGGGGAUAGAUUAUUGCAAUUAUUAAUCUUUAACGAGGAAUUCCUAGUAAGCGCGAGUCAUCAGCUCGUGCUGAUUACGUCCCUGCCCUUUGUACACACCGCCCGUCGCUACUACCGAUUGGAUGGCUUAGUGAGACCCUCGGACCGAUAGGCUGUCGCUGCAGCAAUGUGGCGACUGGCCCGUCUGGGAAGAAGGUCAAACUUGACUGUCUAGAGGAAGUAAAAGUCGUAACA
RNAcentral lists this ribosomal RNA (335 nucleotides) under uncultured eukaryote. RNAcentral's name for it is "partial 18S ribosomal RNA". It matches the Rfam family "Eukaryotic small subunit ribosomal RNA", at positions 1470 to 1796 of the family's 1831-position model. The record is from RNAcentral.